RNAcentral lists this ribosomal RNA (490 nucleotides) under uncultured bacterium. RNAcentral's name for it is "bacterial SSU rRNA". It matches the Rfam family "Bacterial small subunit ribosomal RNA", at positions 26 to 518 of the family's 1533-position model. The record is from RNAcentral.
GUAGUACUCGGCGUCUAGGAUUAACGCUGGCGGCAUGCCUAAUACAUGCAAGUCGAAUGGUUUAGCUUGCUAGACCAUGGCGAACGGGUGAGUAACACGUAGGUAACCUACCUAAGGACGAGGAUAACCUUUGGAGACGAAGGAUAAUACUGGAUAGGACAUUACAAAGCACAUGCUUAAAUGUUUAAAGGAGCAAUCCACCAUAAGAGGGGCCUGCGGCGCAUUAGCUUGUUGGUGAGGUAAAGGCCCACCAAGGCGAUGAUGCGUAGCUGGACUGAGAGGUUGAACAGCCACAAUGGGACUGAGAACGGCCCAUACUCCUACGGGAGGCAGCAGUAGGGAAUUUUCGGCAAUGGGCAAAAGCCUGACCGAGCAAUGCCCGCGUGAUCGAAGAAGUAUUUCGGUAUGUAAAGAUCUUUUAUCGGGGAAGAAAAGACAGAUUGACUGAACCUGAUGAAUAAGCUCCGGCUAACUACGUGCCAGCAGCAGC